Molecule: ribosomal RNA, 301 nt
Filed under: uncultured bacterium
Lineage: Bacteria
Description: partial 16S ribosomal RNA
Rfam family: Bacterial small subunit ribosomal RNA
Source: RNAcentral
CAGCCGCCGCGGUAAUACGUAGGGUGCGAGCGUUAAUCGGAUUUACUGGGCGUAAAGCGUGCGCAGGCGGCCCGUUAAGACAGGUGUGAAAUCCCUGGGCUCAACCUGGGAAUGGCGCUUGUGACUGCAAAGCUAGAGUGCGGCAGAGGGGGAUGGAAUUCCGCGUGUAGCAGUGAAAUGCGUAGAUAUGCGGAGGAACACCGAUGGCGAAGGCAAUCCCCUGGGCCUGCACUGACGCUCAUGCACGAAAGCGUGGGGAGCAAACAGGAUUAGAUACCCCCGUAGUCCCUGUCUCUUAUAC